Chloroflexi bacterium RBG_16_54_11 is the source of this 396-nucleotide non-coding RNA. Lineage: Bacteria; Bacillati; Chloroflexota. The record is from Rfam.
GGGGAUGACAGGCUUCGACGGGAGAGGCUGAACCCGGAUUGCGAGCCGAGAGGCGCCGACCUCGCUAAAUCAGUGCAAAACACAAGUGCCAAUCGCACUUCCUAUGCUGCUCUUCCUCUCGCUGCAUAAGCGCUAGAAGAUCAGUCAUGAGCCUCUUGUAGGUUCACGUCCACCUACCCCGACCUCCGACCGGAGGUAGAGUGGGCGUCAAAAGGUCGGAGUGCCACACACGACACCGCUAUCUGUGUGAAAGAGGAGCUCUCGGGCUUCGGCGGUUAGUCAGCCGAGCGUUUUGUCGCCUGUACGCCGGCUGGCGAAUAACACAACCGACUACGCUCGUAGAUAUCCGUGGAUCUAUUCUUUCGGACGCGGGUUCGAUUCCCGCCAUCUCCACCU